This 484-nucleotide ribosomal RNA is filed under the name uncultured bacterium. RNAcentral's name for it is "partial 16S ribosomal RNA". It matches the Rfam family "Bacterial small subunit ribosomal RNA", at positions 28 to 507 of the family's 1533-position model. The record is from RNAcentral.
GAUUAACGCUAGCGGCAGGCAUAAUACAUGCAAGUUGAACGGCAGCACAGGUAGCAAUACUGGGUGGCGAGUGGCGCACGGGUGCGUAACACGUAUGCAACCUACCCUAUACAGGCGAAUAACCUUUAGAAAUGAGGGCUAAUACGCCGUAGUAUUACAGAUGGGCAUCUAUUUGUAAUUAAAGAUUUAUCGGUAUAGGAUGGGCAUGCGUCCCACUAGUUAGUUGGUAAGGUAACGGCUUACCAAGACGAUGAUGGGUAGGGGAUCUGAGAGGACUUACCCCCACACUGGUACUGAGACACGGACCAGACUCCUACGGGAGGCAGCAGUAAGGAAUAUUGGGCAAUGGCCGCGAGGCUGACCCAGCCAUGCCGCGUGCAGGAAGACGGCCUUAUGGGUUGUAAACUGCUUUUAUACGGGAAUAAUAGAGUGUACGCGUACAUUUAUGCAAGUAUCGUAUGAAUAAGCAUCGGCUAACUCCGUG